UCCUACGGGAGGCAGCAGUGGGGAAUUUUGGACAAUGGGCGAAAGCCUGAUCCAGCAAUGCCGCGUGUGUGAAGAAGGCCUUCGGGUUGUAAAGCACUUUUGUCCGGAAAGAAAUCCUUGGCUCUAAUACAGUCGGGGGAUGACGGUACCGGAAGAAUAAGCACCGGCUAACUACGUGCCAGCAGCCGCGGUAAUACGUAGGGUGCGAGCGUUAAUCGGAAUUACUGGGCGUAAAGCGUGCGCAGGCGGUUUGCUAAGACCGAUGUGAAAUCCCCGGGCUCAACCUGGGAACUGCAUUGGUGACUGGCAGGCUAGAGUAUGGCAGAGGGGGGUAGAAUUCCACGUGUAGCAGUGAAAUGCGUAGAGAUGUGGAGGAAUACCGAUGGCGAAGGCAGCCCCCUGGGCCAAUACUGACGCUCAUGCACGAAAGCGUGGGGAGCAAACAGGAUUAGAUACCCUGGUAGUCCACGCCCUAAACGAUGUCAACUAGUUGUUGGGGAUUCAUUUCCUUAGUAACGUAGCUAACGCGUGAAGUUGACCGCCUGGGGAGUACGGUCGCAAGAUUAAAACUCAAAGGAAUUGACGGGGACCCGCACAAGCGGUGGAUGAUGUGGAUUAAUUCGAUGCAACGCGAAAAACCUUACCUACCCUUGACAUGGUCGGAAUCCCGCUGAGAGGUGGGAGUGCUCGAAAGAGAACCGGCGCACAGGUGCUGCAUGGCUGUCGUCAGCUCGUGUCGUGAGAUGUUGGGUUAAGUCCCGCAACGAGCGCAACCCUUGUCCUUAGUUGCUACGCAAGAGCACUCUAAGGAGACUGCCGGUGACAAACCGGAGGAAGGUGGGGAUGACGUCAAGUCCUCAUGGCCCUUAUGGGUAGGGCUUCACACGUCAUACAAUGGUCGGAACAGAGGGUUGCCAACCCGCGAGGGGGAGCUAAUCCCAGAAAACCGAUCGUAGUCCGGAUUGCACUCUGCAACUCGAGUGCAUGAAGCUGGAAUCGCUAGUAAUCGCGGAUCAGCAUGCCGC
RNAcentral lists this ribosomal RNA (1025 nucleotides) under uncultured Burkholderia sp. Its description in RNAcentral is "bacterial SSU rRNA". It matches the Rfam family "Bacterial small subunit ribosomal RNA", at positions 337 to 1360 of the family's 1533-position model. Lineage: Bacteria; Pseudomonadati; Pseudomonadota; Betaproteobacteria; Burkholderiales; Burkholderiaceae. The record is from RNAcentral.